This 165-nucleotide unclassified non-coding RNA is filed under the name uncultured Trichoderma. Its description in RNAcentral is "sequence contains ITS2". The record is from RNAcentral. Lineage: Eukaryota; Fungi; Ascomycota; Sordariomycetes; Hypocreales; Hypocreaceae.
CAACCCUCGAACCCCUCCGGGGGGUCGGCGUUGGGGAUCGGCCCCUCACCGGGCCGCCCCGAAAUACAGUGGCGGUCUCGCCGCAGCCUCUCCUGCGCAGUAGUUUGCACACUCGCACCGGGAGCGCGGCGCGGCCACAGCCGUAAAACACCCCAAGCUCUGAAA